This 516-nucleotide ribosomal RNA is filed under the name uncultured bacterium. RNAcentral's name for it is "bacterial SSU rRNA". It matches the Rfam family "Bacterial small subunit ribosomal RNA", at positions 369 to 902 of the family's 1533-position model. The record is from RNAcentral.
CAAUGGGCGCAAGCCUGAUCUAGCCAUGCCGCGUGUGUGAUGAAGGUCUUAGGAUCGUAAAGCACUUUCGCCAGGGAUGAUAAUGACAGUACCUGGUAAAGAAACCCCGGCUAACUCCGUGCCAGCAGCCGCGGUAAUACGGAGGGGGUUAGCGUUGUUCGGAAUUACUGGGCGUAAAGCGUACGUAGGCGGAUUGGAAAGUUGGGGGUGAAAUCCCAGGGCUCAACCCUGGAACUGCCUCCAAAACUAUCAGUCUAGAGUUCGAGAGAGGUGAGUGGAAUUCACAAGUGUAAAGGUGAAAUUCGUAGAUAUUUGGAGGAACACCAGUGGCGAAGGCGGCUCACUGGCUCGAUACUGACGCUGAGGUACGAAAGUGUGGGGAGCAAACAGGAUUAGAUACCCUGGUAGUCCACACCGUAAACGAUGAAUGCCAGUCGUCGGGCAGUAUACUGUUCGGUGACACACCUAACGGAUUAAGCAUACCGCCUGGGGAGUACGGUCGCAAGAUUAAAACUC